AUACGGAGGAUGCGAGCGUUAUCCGGAUUUAUUGGGUUUAAAGGGAGCGUAGGCGGGAGCUUAAGUCAGCGGUUAAAUGGUGCGGCUCAACCGUGCCCUGCCGUUGAAACUGGGUUUCUUGAGAGUGCAAGAGGCGGAUGGAAUUCAUGGUGUAGCGGUGAAAUGCUUAGAUAUCAUGAAGAACUCCGAUUGCGAAGGCAGUCCGCUGGGGCACGUCUGACGCUGAUGCUCGAAGGUGCGGGAAUCAAACAGGAUUAGAUACCCUGGUAGUCCGCACGGUAAACGAUGAUUACCCGCUGUCGGCGGCAGACAGUCGGCGGCCAAGCGAAAGUGAUAAGUAAUCCACCUGGGGAGUACGCCGGCAACGGUGAAACUCAAAGGAAUUGACGGGG
This 392-nucleotide ribosomal RNA is filed under the name uncultured bacterium. RNAcentral describes it as "partial 16S ribosomal RNA". It matches the Rfam family "Bacterial small subunit ribosomal RNA", at positions 523 to 918 of the family's 1533-position model. The record is from RNAcentral.